GGAUAUUUUGGUCAAAAAAAUAGCUUUCCGACCGGGCCUAAAAGUGCUUUUUCAAAAAACUCCCAAAUGGAAUUUCUUUCAAAAAGCUGUUUUUAGCUUUCUGGAAAAGCUAAAACAGCUUUUCAAAAUUUUUAUCAAGCAUCCCUAUUUCAUCUAAAGGUGCUUUUUAGCCCUUCAAAAGCUCCCCUAAAUGGGGCCUUAAUCUUUGGCAAGUAGGUUCAAAGCCUAUUGAACUAGUUCAUCAAUCAAUGGAAGCAACUCUCAAUAGACUAAAAUCAUUUUCCGACAGUCCACAUCAGCCGUCAGACGUGCAUGGUCAGUAUGCUGCAGCAUGGUCAAGCAGCGGCAUGUUAUCUUCCUGCAACCUCUGACAAAAUUGGAUAAUAGUCAUUACAUGACAGAUGUAACAAAAUGUUUUCUAAACUCAGAGAUAACACUGGAUUGCAUAUCCUCUUUUAUGUACUGACUGCAUAGUUGGUAGCACGGGUGACAAGUAGAAAUGAUGAUAUCAUUGAUCUGCAGUGUUAUAAAAGCAAUGCUAUCUAAUAUAUUUCAAAACUUGCAUAAUGUCCAUUAUUUUACCUUUUGACCUUCGUAAAGUCUUAUGUAACUUGAGCUUAGGAGAAAAUAUUAAUAGAUACAGUCUUCUAGUCUCAUGAAUCUGCUUUCGAUUCCUAAAGCUGAAAGGUCAGCUCAUCAAUGUAGUUCGGUUCGGAUUCCUAAGGACAGUGGACUUCAAUCAUGAAUGACUUUAGUUGCCAUCUUCUAAGUUUUGCUGGUCACCAUUCAGAUGAUGCCCUCAUGCUUCCUGCUUUCUUCAUGUAUUUCCUCAUUAAAGUUAUUUUGAUCACCUUCAAUAUUUUAAGUUUUCAAAAUUCCAUAAUACAAAGAAGAAAGCUUGGCACCAAGAAAUUAAGAGCACUCGGCACAUCUUAUAGGUGACAUCCUUUACUACCACCUACUGUAUGAUGAUUUCUCAAAGAUAGCUCAUAAGUAAAAUUGUGAAGUCCAAAUUCUCAACAAGCCUCAACAAUAUAAUAGGGCAUCCCCACUCUUGGGUUGGUCCAUAAUGCUCAAGUUGACAUAAUGAUUUUUUCAUUGUUAAGAUGCUCUCUCCCAGAAGAAGAGACAUUUAUCUUCCAAUAGACACAUGCCAUUUUCUUUCAUGGAACACAAGUUUCAGUCAUAGCCUGAUAAUAUCUUAGCUUUUGAUUUCCACACAUAACUUGAGAGGUUGGAUAAGUAAGAUCUAAAAAAGAUGGGAUUGACAGUUCCUAACCAAAUUCCAAAUGACAAACUGAAUGCAAGAAAUCUGGUGACUAAAAGUCUGAUCAUCAAGGAACUAGAAAAGAUCCAGAAGUAGAUGCUCCUAAGGUUGAAAGACCAAUAUGGAAGAUUUGAUUGUUGCUGAUCUUCACAAAGGCACCCAUCACCAGAUCCCAUCGUUAGUUUAAGAUUGCCUUCUGUGACCAGGUAGAAAAUUUCCUAUGAAUCA
This 1495-nucleotide long non-coding RNA is filed under the name Phoenix dactylifera (date palm). RNAcentral's name for it is "long non-coding RNA (PDAC_LNC001297)". The record is from RNAcentral. Lineage: Eukaryota; Viridiplantae; Streptophyta; Magnoliopsida; Arecales; Arecaceae.